GACGAACGCUGGCGGCGUGCUUAACACAUGCAAGUCGAGCGGUAAGGCCUUUCGGGGUACACGAGCGGCGAACGGGUGAGUAACACGUGGGUGAUCUGCCCUGCACUUCGGGAUAAGCCUGGGAAACUGGGUCUAAUACCGGAUAUGACCUCCUAUCGCAUGGUGGGUGGUGGAAAGAUUUAUCGGUGCAGGAUGGGCCCGCGGCCUAUCAGCUUGUUGGUGGGGUAAUGGCCUACCAAGGCGACGACGGGUAGCCGACCUGAGAGGGUGACCGGCCACACUGGGACUGAGACACGGCCCAGACUCCUACGGGAGGCAGCAGUGGGGAAUAUUGCACAAUGGGCGAAAGCCUGAUGCAGCGACGCCGCGUGAGGGAUGACGGCCUUCGGGUUGUAAACCUCUUUCAGCAGGGACGAAGCGCAAGUGACGGUACCUGCAGAAGAAGCACCGGCUAA
RNAcentral lists this ribosomal RNA (455 nucleotides) under Bacillus amyloliquefaciens. RNAcentral describes it as "bacterial SSU rRNA". It matches the Rfam family "Bacterial small subunit ribosomal RNA", at positions 28 to 500 of the family's 1533-position model. The record is from RNAcentral. Lineage: Bacteria; Bacillati; Bacillota; Bacilli; Caryophanales; Bacillaceae. RNAcentral also lists the same sequence under 1 other name.